This is an RNA transcript of Salvia miltiorrhiza (redroot sage), 1230 nucleotides long. It is a transcript of the gene named protein sym-1-like, with no coding region annotated. Lineage: Eukaryota; Viridiplantae; Streptophyta; Magnoliopsida; Lamiales; Lamiaceae. The record is from RefSeq and is a predicted model, not a curated record. The transcript is spliced from 8 exons.
GGCCUUCUCUGUGUUGUAGUCGAGGCUUUAAGAUGAGGACCAGCUCUACAGCACCUUGGAGAUAGCUCUAAAACCCACAUUGCCUGUACAUAAAACCCAUAUUUUCAUAUUUUUAUCCAUAGGAAGCAGAGCGAGGGACGGACGCAGCACAAACUAUGGUGGCCGUGAAUCCCACAACUGUUACCCAAAAGUACAAUGUUUUUUCGGGAUGGGCGGCGAAUUUCCGCCGCACCCAGAGUAAUACCCCAAGCAGAAUUCUUGCGUGCAAUUCAAUUCAUAUUAACGGGAGCUCUGCAGUCUGCCGUAAUAGGAUUUCUCUGGCUUCUGCAAACGGGUUUAGAAUAUAUGGGUCGAAGCCUUUGGGCCUUCGCUCUUUUCAGGUUUUGAGUGGCGGUGGAGCUGGCGGUGGCGGUGGAGAUGGCAGAAACAGUGGUAGUGGUGGAGAUGCAGGUGGAGGUGGAGGUGGAGGUCAUGAUAGUAACUGGUCACUCAUUUCAUGGUAUCUGUCUCUUCUUGCCAAGCAUCCUGUGAUCACAAAGGCUGUCACUUCCGCAAUUUUAACUUUGGUUGGUGAUGUUAUUUGUCAGCUCUUUAUUGAUCAAGUGCCAUCUCCUGAUUUGAAGCGGACAUUUAUCUUCACUCUGUUGGGUCUCGCUUUGGUUGGUCCGACAUUACAUUUCUGGUAUUCGUAUUUGAGUAAAGUGGUUACUGUCCCUGGAGCUUCUGGUACUUUCUUGAGGCUUUUCCUUGAUCAGUUUAUUUUCUCUCCCAUUUUUAUUGGGACUUUCCUAUCUACACUGGUGACACUUGAGGGACGACCAUCAAAUGUAAUCCCGAAGCUAAAACAGGAAUGGUUGUCAUCAGUUGUUGCAAAUUGGUUUGUCUGGAUACCAUUUCAGUUCCUCAACUUCCAAUUUGUUCCACAGCAAUUUCAGGUCCUUGCUGCCAAUUUUAUCGCCUUGAUAUGGAACGUGAUUCUUUCCUAUAAAGCUCAUAAAGAAGUUCCUGUGGAAUACUAGUUUACCUUCUUCCUAGAAUUCACCUUCUUUCAAGAAUGAUCCAUGUUUUUCUUCUGAGCACAGUCAGCAAGAAAAAAGAUUGAAUCUUUGAUGGAGAAAACCAAGGAUCAUGAGUUUGAAGAUGGUUUUCCGACAAGAUCGACUUCCUUGUCCGAACCUUCUAGCCCAUCUCGGAGUCCCUCCUCCUCAGAUCACUCCCUUCCCUUCACCG